CUACGGGGCGCAGCAGUGGGGAAUAUUGGACAAUGGGGGAAACCCUGAUCCAGCAAUGCCGCGUGUGUGAAGAAGGCCUGCGGGUUGUAAAGCACUUUCGGUUGGGAGGACUGCUUCUAGCACUAAUAUUGUUGGAAGUUGACGUUACCUUCAGAAGAAGCACCGGCUAACUCCGUGCCAGCAGCCGCGGUAAUACGGAGGGUACAAGCGUUAAUCGGAAUUACUGGGCGUAAAGCGCGCGUAGGCGGCUAGAUCAGUCGGGUGUGAAAGCCCCGGGCUUAACCUGGGAACUGCAUCCGAUACUGUCUAGCUUGAGUACGGGAGAGGAGAGUGGAAUUCCACAUGUAGCGGUGAAAUGCGUAGAUAUGUGGAGGAACACCAAUGGCGAAGGCAGCUCUCUGGCCUGAUACUGACGCUGAGGUGCGAAAGCGUGGGGAGCAAACAGGAUUAGAUACCCCCGUAGUC
Molecule: ribosomal RNA, 465 nt
Filed under: uncultured bacterium
Lineage: Bacteria
Description: partial 16S ribosomal RNA
Rfam family: Bacterial small subunit ribosomal RNA
Source: RNAcentral